This is a long non-coding RNA of Sebastes umbrosus (honeycomb rockfish), 1498 nucleotides long. RefSeq lists it as uncharacterized. Lineage: Eukaryota; Metazoa; Chordata; Actinopteri; Perciformes; Sebastidae. The transcript has 3 exons. The record is from RefSeq and is a predicted model, not a curated record.
AGGUACUUUGUGUUUGCGGGGCAUCUUACUUCUCUUCUUCUACUGGUCUGUUCUCGUUGCUUUGAAGAUGAGCAUGUGGGAAAACCUUCUGCUCUCGCUCUGUCCGCCCUCUUGCUCCUUUAUUAUCUAAUUAUUCCCUUUACACUCUGGAACAAUAACAACAACGCAUACAGCAGCAACAAUGUGAUUAUACACAGACAGACACCCACAUGGGGACAAUAUGCUGCAUACAAUAGCAAUGCAGAUAAUGGCAUUACACGUGCGUACAAAAGGCAGAGCAGAGACCGUGUCGGGCUGCGAGUUUAUCCGCCUGUUAUGAUAUACGCAGGCCCACACACGCACGCACGCGCACACACACACACACACACACACACACACACACACACACACUGUCUGGUCUCUUCGGUUCUGCUCUGUAUCUUGUCUUUCUCAAGGUCCCUGCUCCUGUGCCAAGGCCUCAAUAACACCCCCACCCCACCCCGACCCGGUCGCCCCUUUUGUUUGCCUGUCUGGAAUUCAGCUCCUGGCUGAGGGGGGCCUGGGCGAGGGACAAAACACACUUCACAGCGUUAGAUGGUGGCCCAAACACCGUCCUGCACGCACACACAUACACAACAUUGGAAGGCUGCCCACAAAACUCUCCCGUUCUCAGAGUACCACCAGGCUUUUGAUGGGGCCCUGCACUGUCUGGCAGAUUAUCCAACAACACACGGCAGGGAAGAGUGCAUUAAAAACACACUCGGUCCUGAAUGUUGCUAUUACGGCCGUGGAGUUUUAAGAUACGAACAGCAGAUCUUUUAGUAAAUUAUUCCCCAAAAUUUCAGUGGACAAAUCUGUUUUCCAUUUCUGACAUCAUGCACGGUCUGCAACUCUUAUGGUGCGUUCAGGUGUGAGUAGGACAGUCAGGAUUUCCAUCUCAGCUUAUAAACACCUUUGCAAAUAGAUUUAUAUACUCUUCUGUAAGACAAAACACCCAAAGGCACAUGGUAAACAAGAAUAAACUGUUUACAGAGGGUGCAGCUUUGCAAUUUGGAGAUUUGCUCAGCAGAGAUUUGCACUCUACUAAAAGCUCUUUAGUUGGUGUGUGCAACAACAGAAGACAAUUUGGGGUUUUUUCCACUUCACUUUACUAUAAAAAUGUUACUACAAGGGCCUUGAUUUUGAUGUAACCUCUGUGAUGAAGACUCUUUAUGAUUUGCAUCAAUCGUGUGAUCAAUUUGCUGUUGUAUGUUGUUGUGCAUCAACAAGCUAACUAACCGACCGAGGCAGCGGUAGACCAGUAACUCCCACGAGGUAAAAUUACUGUAAAAUUAUUAUUUUUUUAAAUUUUUUUAAUGGAGUUUGGUUGCUUUGGUGAGAGCAAAGAUAACGACAUCAGUUCUCCGUCGGAAACAUAGACUGUAUAGCUCUCUGACAGCAAGGUAAAAUAUUCUAAAUACAGUGUAUACUUAAACUGAUAUUGAUUAUUUUAGGUGGCAAAAAUAUGUUUUGCUGCUGC